AUCUCUUGACGUUAGCAACAGAAGAAGCACCGGCUAACUCCGUGCCAGCAGCCGCGGUAAUACGGAGGGUGCGAGCGUUAAUCGGAAUUACUGGGCGUAAAGCGCAUGCAGGUGGUUCAUUAAGUCAGAUGUGAAAGCCCGGGGCUCAACCUCGGAACUGCAUUUGAAACUGGUGAACUAGAGUACUGUAGAGGGGGGUAGAAUUUCAGGUGUAGCGGUGAAAUGCGUAGAGAUCUGAAGGAAUACCAGUGGCGAAGGCGGCCCCCUGGACAGAUACUGACACUCAGAUGCGAAAGCGUGGGGAGCAAACAGGAUUAGAUACCCUGGUAGUCCACGCCGUAAACGAUGUCUACUUGGAGGUUGUGGCCUUGAGCCGUGGCUUUCGGAGCUAACGCGUUAAGUAGACCGCCUGGGGAGUACGGUCGCAAGAUUAAAACUCAAAUGAAUUGACGGGGGCCCGCACAAGCGGUGGAGCAUGUGGUUUAAUUCGAUGCAACGCGAAGAACCUUACCUACUCUUGACAUCCAGAGAAGCCAGCGGAGACGCAGGUGUGCCUUCGGGAACUCUGAGACAGGUGCUGCAUGGCUGUCGUCAGCUCGUGUUGUGAAAUGUUGGGUUAAGUCCCGCAACGAGCGCAACCCUUAUCCUUGUUUGCCAGCGAGUAAUGUCGGGAACUCCAGGGAGACUGCCGGUGAUAAACCGGAGGAAGGUGGGGACGACGUCAAGUCAUCAUGGCCCUUACGAGUAGGGCUACACACGUGCUACAAUGGCGCAUACAGAGGGCAGCAAGCUAGCGAUAGUGAGCGAAUCCCAAAAAGUGCGUCGUAGUCCGGAUUGGAGUCUGCAACUCGACUCCAUGAAGUCGGAAUCGCUAGUAAUCGUAGAUCAGAAUGCUACGGUGAAUACGUUCCCGGGCCUUGUACACACCGCCCGUCACACCAUGGGAGUGGGCUGCAAAAGAAGUGGGUAGUUUAACCUUUCGGGGAGGACGCUCACCACUUUGUGGUUCAUGACUGGGGUGAAGUCGUAACAAGGUAGCCCUAGGGGAACCUGGGGCUGGAUCACCUCCUUAU
RNAcentral lists this ribosomal RNA (1073 nucleotides) under Vibrio crassostreae. RNAcentral describes it as "bacterial SSU rRNA". It matches the Rfam family "Bacterial small subunit ribosomal RNA", at positions 464 to 1533 of the family's 1533-position model. The record is from RNAcentral. Lineage: Bacteria; Pseudomonadati; Pseudomonadota; Gammaproteobacteria; Vibrionales; Vibrionaceae.